Molecule: ribosomal RNA, 449 nt
Filed under: uncultured bacterium
Lineage: Bacteria
Description: partial 16S ribosomal RNA
Rfam family: Bacterial small subunit ribosomal RNA
Source: RNAcentral
AACGAACGCUGGCGGCAUGCCUAACACCUGCAAGUCGAACGAGAUCUUCGGGUCUAGUGGCGCACGGGUGCGUAACGCGUGGGAAUCUGCCCUUUGGUUCGGAAUAACAGUUGGAAACGACUGCUAAUACCGGAUGAUGACGAAAGUCCAAAGAUUUAUCGCCAGAGGAUGAGCCCGCGUAGGAUUAGCUAGUUGGUGUGGUAAAGGCGCACCAAGGCGACGAUCCUUAGCUGGUCUGAGAGGAUGAUCAGCCACACUGGGACUGAGACACGGCCCAGACUCCUACGGGAGGCAGCAGUGGGGAAUAUUGGACAAUGGGCGAAAGCCUGAUCCAGCAAUGCCGCGUGAGUGAUGAAGGCCUUAGGGUUGUAAAGCUCUUUUACCCGGGAUGAUAAUGACAGUACCGGGAGAGUAAGCUCCGGCUAACUCCGUGCCAGCCGCCGCAGUAA